Molecule: non-coding RNA, 46 nt
Organism: Schistosoma curassoni
Lineage: Eukaryota; Metazoa; Platyhelminthes; Trematoda; Strigeidida; Schistosomatidae
Source: Rfam
GCACUGCUGAGGAGUCCCACAAUAGGACGAACCGGCUGUCCAGUGC